RNAcentral lists this small nucleolar RNA (99 nucleotides) under Dichanthelium oligosanthes. RNAcentral's name for it is "Small nucleolar RNA R30/Z108". It matches the Rfam family "Small nucleolar RNA R30/Z108". Rfam says of the family: snoR30 is a C/D box small nucleolar RNA which acts as a methylation guide for 18S ribosomal RNA in plants. Lineage: Eukaryota; Viridiplantae; Streptophyta; Magnoliopsida; Poales; Poaceae. The record is from Rfam by way of RNAcentral.
GGUUGUUGCCAUAAGGACAAACAAGCUCCCUCUUCUGAAUGCAUUGAGGAUGCUUGCUGGCAGAAUCGAACCAAUAAACCAAUUGCCACUACUGAGUAA